CCUACGGGAGGCAGCAGUGGGGAAUAUUGGGCAAUGGGCGCAAGCCUGACCCAGCAACGCCGCGUGAAGGAUGAAGGUUUUCGGAUUGUAAACUUCUGUCGCGAGGGACGAAGAAUGACGGUAUCUCGUAAGAAAGCCCCGCCUAACGACGUGCCAGCAGCCGCGGUAAUACGUAGGGGGCAAGCGGUGUACGGAAUGACUGGGCGUAAAGGGAGUGUAGGGGGCACAGUAAGUGAGAUGUGAAAUCCCGCGGCUUAACCGCGGAACUGCAUCUAAAAAUGGUAAGCUGGAGUGCAGGAGAGGUGAGUGGAAGUCCUAGUGUAGCGGUGGAAUGCGUAGAUAGUAGGAGGAACACCAGGGGCGAAGGCGACUCACUGGACUGUAACUGACGCUGAGGCUCGAAAGCGUGGGGAGCAAACAGGAUUAGAUACCCGAGUAGUC
This 441-nucleotide ribosomal RNA is filed under the name uncultured bacterium. RNAcentral's name for it is "partial 16S ribosomal RNA". It matches the Rfam family "Bacterial small subunit ribosomal RNA", at positions 338 to 795 of the family's 1533-position model. The record is from RNAcentral.